This 497-nucleotide ribosomal RNA is filed under the name uncultured bacterium. RNAcentral's name for it is "partial 16S ribosomal RNA". It matches the Rfam family "Bacterial small subunit ribosomal RNA", at positions 28 to 507 of the family's 1533-position model. The record is from RNAcentral.
GAUGAACGCUGGCGGCGUGCCUAAUACAUGCAAGUCGAGCGAACGGACGAGAAGCUUGCUUCUCUGAUGUUAGCGGCGGACAGGUGAGUAACACGUGGAUAACCUACCUAUAAGACUGGGAUAACUUAGGGAAACCGGACCUAAUACCGGAUAAUAUUUUGAACCGCAUGGUUCAAAAGUGAAAGACGGUCUUGCUGUCACUUCUAGAUGGAUCCGCGCUGCAUUAGCUAGUUGGUAAGGUAACGGCUUACCAAGGCAACGAUGCAUAGCCGACCUGAGAGGGUGAUCGGCCACACUGGGACUGAGACACGGUCCAGACUCCUACGGGAGGCAGCAGUAGGGAAUCUUCCGCAAUGGGCGAAAGCCUGACGGAGCAACGCCGCGUGAGUGAUGAAGGUCUUCGGAUCGUAAAACUCUGUUAUUAGGGAAGAACAUAUGUGUAAGUAACUGUGCACAUCUUGACGGUACCUAAUCAGAAAGCCACGGCUAACUACGUG